This 427-nucleotide ribosomal RNA is filed under the name uncultured Acidibacter sp. RNAcentral's name for it is "bacterial SSU rRNA". It matches the Rfam family "Bacterial small subunit ribosomal RNA", at positions 355 to 774 of the family's 1533-position model. The record is from RNAcentral. Lineage: Bacteria; Pseudomonadati; Pseudomonadota; Gammaproteobacteria.
UGGGGAAUAUUGGACAAUGGGGGAAACCCUGAUCCAGCGACGCCGCGUGUGUGAAGAAGGCCUGCGGGUUGUAAAGCACUUUUAGUGGGGAUGAAAUGUUCAUGGCUAAUACCCGUGGAUUUUGACCUAACCCACAGAAAAAGCACCGGCUAACUCUGUGCCAGCAGCCGCGGUAAUACAGAGGGUGCAAGCGUUAAUCGGAAUUACUGGGCGUAAAGCGUGCGUAGACGGUUACAUAAGUCGGGUGUGAAAGCCCCGGGCUCAACCUGGGAAUUGCAUUCGAGACUGCGUAGCUAGGGUGCGGAAGAGGGAAGCGGAAUUUCCGGUGUAGCGGUGAAAUGCGUAGAUAUCGGAAGGAACACCAGUGGCGAAAGCGGCUUCCUGGUCCAGCACCGACGUUCAGGCACGAAAGCGUGGGGAGCAAACA